UUGUAGGCUGCAACUCGCCUACAUGAAGUUGGGAAUCGCUAGUAAUCGCGAAUCAGAAUGUCGCGGUGAAUACGUUCCCGGGUCUUGUACACACCGCCCGUUACACCACGAGAGUUUACAACACCCGAAGUCAGUGGCCUAACCGCAAGGAGGGAGCUGCCUAAGGCGGGGUAGAUGAUUGGGGUGAAGUCGUAACAAGGUAAC
This 204-nucleotide ribosomal RNA is filed under the name uncultured bacterium. RNAcentral describes it as "partial 16S ribosomal RNA". It matches the Rfam family "Bacterial small subunit ribosomal RNA", at positions 1298 to 1500 of the family's 1533-position model. The record is from RNAcentral.